RNAcentral lists this long non-coding RNA (6737 nucleotides) under Ananas comosus (pineapple). RNAcentral describes it as "long non-coding RNA (ACOM_LNC000940)". Lineage: Eukaryota; Viridiplantae; Streptophyta; Magnoliopsida; Poales; Bromeliaceae. The record is from RNAcentral.
UAGUUCUUACGCCCCUGUUUUAUGGUUUACUUUUCAGAGCCUUCGGCACCGGCGGAGGCACGGAAUCGCGGCAAGGGGAUCGCUUAGCUAGCUAGCGAGGAGCGGUACUUUGCCUAGGUGGUUUACUCUUUCUUUUUGUAGUUGAGAGAGUGAGAGGUUUUUGUAUCCAUGUAUAGAGACCACCUAUGUAUCUACCUAUAGCACUUGUAUCUGGGAUUUUCUUGUAUUACUUUAUGUUUUAUUUAGUGGAUUUACAGUUUUAUCCUUAUCCCUUGUUGUAGCAAUUAGACAUUUAUUAUGCUCUGAUACUCCUAGAUGUCUUUUAUUAUCGCUUUUAUUAUUGUUGUUUUUAGACGCCUUAUAUGUUUUAGACGUAUGGCGGGUCUGGGCACGUGCCUGGCGGGCUUCCGCUGGGUCCCGGGGCGUGACAGUUACCUCUGAAAGCCAAAAUUCGCACUUCUUCAGUUUAGCAUAAAGCUUCUCGUUUCGAAGUAUUUGCAACACGGUUCUUAAAUGUUCCUCGUGCUCUUCUUCAUUCCGCGAGUACACCAACACGUCGUCGAUAAACACCACGAUGCACUUGUCCAAUAACGGUCGAAAGACCCGAUUCAUUAGGUCCAUAAACGCUGUCGGGGCAUUAGUAAGCCCAAACAGCAUAACCGUAAACUCGUUUGGCCAUACCGCAUACAGUACGCUGUUUUGUGCACAUCCUUCGGCCGGAUAUUCAACUGGUGAUAUCCCAACUGAAGAUCUAUCUUCGAGUAUACCCGCGACGCCUACAACUGAUCAAACAGGUCAUCUAUUCUCGGCAACGGGUAUUGUUCUUGACCGUCACUUUGUUCAACUCGCGAUAAUCAACGCAGAGUCAAAGUGUACCGUCCUUCUUCUUUACAAAUAGCACCGAAGCUCCCCACGGUAACACGCUCGGCCUAACAAAGCCUUUGUCGAGCAAGUCCUGUAAUUGGGCCUUUAACUCCUUAAGCACCUCCGGAGCCAUUCUAUACGGAGCCUUCGAAACUGGCGUCGCUCCGAGAAUCAAGUCAAUGACUAACUCGAUCUCCCGAUUCGGUGGCAAUCACGGUAACUCCGCCGAAAACACGUCCGGAAAUUCACACGCAACUCGGAUAUCCCCAAGUUCAGGGUGUUCCUUCUGAGCCUCUAUCAUUGUUGCCAAAUAGGCCAAACAUCCUUCUUUGAUCAUCUUUAUCGCCCUCGCCGCCGAUACAGUCGCCGCGAAACGCGAGCUUUUGCACACUUGAUACACCAACUCCUCUUGACCAGGCUCACGAAAAGUGAUCACCUUACUGUCACAGUCAAUGCUGGCAUAGUACUUGGAGAGCCAAUUAACUCCCAAGAUGACAUCAAAUCCCCACAUCUGCUUCAACACUACCAAGUUCGCCGGCAUAAUCCACUCGCCGAUCUGAACAAGACAAGCUAGGCACUCCUCGUGAACUUUAAACGAAUGUUCUGGUGCGUUAACCCACCAAUAGUCAUAAUUAUGCACUAUCUCCAUGCCAUGAGUCUUAGCAAACGAUGCACUAACAAACGAGUGUGAUACAUUCGUGUCAAAUAAUGCUCUUACUCUAAUGCCAUUAAUCAGAAUAAUACCUGCCACGACGUCGUCGGGUACGGCAGGCUGCUCUUCCACCUGAGUGGCGAAAAUUCGUCCACUCGGUGCACGUGAUCCCUCCGGCUAACGCGGUGCCGAAGCGCGCCCAGCCGACAUAACAGGUGGCAGUCCUGCAAGCUGUCGUGGAGCGUACUGAGCCGAAGUAGCUGACGGAGCAGGUGACGCGCCGCCCGGGCAAUCCCAACUCAAGUGUCCCGCUUGGCCACAUCGGAAACACCUCCCGUCACGCUGAGAACAUUCAUUGGGCCUGUGAUUCCCGCCACGGAUCACGCAUGGGAAAGAAGUCGCCUGACUCCUUGACUGGCUUCUGCCUCCCCGCCACUGCGGUCGAAGGUACCAAGGGAGUCGCUUAGAACUCGACUGCCCUGCGGAACCACCAGCCGGUCGCUUCUUGGACUUUUUCCUUUCCUUGUCCUUUUCAAAAGCCUCGCGCUCCUCACGCGCAAUGGUGUUGCCGGGCUCUACCCAUAGCGCGCGAUCAAGUACCUCCUCGUAGGUCUUCAGUCGGAGCGCAUGAAUAAUCUUGAAUAUUUUCGGCCGCAACCCGCGCUCGAAGACCUCCUCUCGGUCCCGGUCUCCGUGAACCAUGCCCGGAACGCAAUCGACUAUGUGCGAGAACUCCCUUUCAUAUUCCCACACCGAUCGGUUUCCUUGCCUUAACUUGCGAAAGUCCUCCUUGAUCUUCCGCUUGUCACUUUCGGGAAAAUACUCCAUUAACAGGAUCUCCCGGAAUGUCUCCCAAGACAUAGUAGCCGGAUCCAAAGACCGACCAUUCUUUACUCGCGUCUACCAUGAUCUAGCCGACCCCUCUAAACAGUGAGCCGCUAGGCGUACUUUAUCCUUCUCGAGGGUGUAGACAUCCUCAAACAAUGCCUCCAUCGCUGAAAGCCACGCCUCCAUUAACCAAGGGUCCUUCACAUCACCCUGGAACAUCGGAGUAUUAAACCGCUUAAAGGCCGUCAACACCGCCAACGACCGCUCCUGCUCGGCCUUAAGAACCUACGAGAUAGGAGCCGAAGAACUCGAAAUCGUUGGAGGAAUAGCCGUCACCGGUGCCGCCGCCACCGUCGGAGUAGGUGCUAUAGGUGCAGGCGGGUCCUGAGGUACGGGUGCAGCCGCCGCCGCCUGUCGAGCCACCAACUCAUGGAGCCGUCCUAUCUGCUCCCCUUGUUGUCCCAUAGCCCCAGCCAAAGCUACCACUUGGGCCCGCAACUCUCGCACUUCAUCAGAUCCCGCUUGCUCGGGCACUUCAUUAGGCAAUGCCGGAGCGGACCUACGCGUAUAACGUCUCGGGGACAUUAGCUCUUGAAACGAAACACACGCGUUAUUACUCGACAUACUCACACCUUAUACGUUCCAAACAACUACCCAAUUAAGCGAAAGCAAACAAGUCUAUUCAUUUUCAACUCUCGGCGUCAUGUAGUCGGCCGCCCACAUAACACUUCAAGAAGAGAACAAUAAGCACUUGAAUUCAUCUCUAACUCCUUUUAGAGAAGUACUAACAACAACCCAAUCAAUAAGCUUUCGCGUUUCCGAGUCCACGUCAAACGUGUCCUAAACUCCUAGGGUUUCCAAUCCUAAGGUCCCUAAGUCCAUCCUAGACUUUUGCUUUCACUCGCGCUGAUACCACCGUAUCUGUCACGCCCCGGAGCCGCCAAUUUGGUCGGUUCGGGCACGCGAACAGACGCCGAACGAACAGCACCUCCCCUGUCCGCCCAAGGCUCCAACAACAUGUAUAAUACAAGCAAGUCAACAAGGAGAUUGCAAGAUAUACAAGGUUUGCACGAUGGCAAACAACAACCAAUUCACAUGUGAAAGCACCGAAACUAACUAAACAUUUAUCCACAUACAUGUCAUUUGAUUACAUUUUAAUCAAACACAAGUAACUAUUACAUUUACAUUCAUUUUAUCCAUUCAUUUACAUCACAUUGGCUUUUAACCCAAAAUAUACGAAUUACAUUAUUUAUCCUUACUAGUUCAACAUACAAAAGUUGAAUACACCAAAAUAUAGGGUAUGCCUAUAAACUCCGAGGCCGCUAUCUACAGCGCGAUACCCUAGCCUGGAUCCUCCGUCGCCCCGCUCGCGCACGGAUUUGCAGGGUUAGUGGUAAUGAGAACUAGAACGAAGUUUCCAAUGGGUUCGGCCGCCAACUGCGCCUAUUCGCCGACUAGGUCUAUUUCAGGCAUAUGUAUUUCAAUAAAGAUAGAUACCGAACCAUCUAAUGCAAUCACUAAUACAAUGCCUUGUAGCACACUCGACCUUUGCAAUUUGUGAGGUUCGAGUGUUUGGUGUGUACUCCGAACUUUUCCACACUUGGUGGAAGGCCGUAGAUGGUAUUCCGGCCUAAAAGUUCGAUCUCUAGGGUUUUGAUUUUGUCCUGAGAGUUUUCACUCUCGAGGACCGGUCCCUGAUAGGAGAGACCGGUCUCCUCAAAACAGUGCUGCGGCAGGGCUUGAGACAACCGGUCCCUGGCUGGGAGAGACCGGUUCCCGAACGUUGGUUUUGCGGGAAUAAAAAAUAUGAAAAUAAGGGCUUCCGUUCGUAAAAUUUGUGAAAAAUGUCGACUGAUUCGCAGGCGUGGGCGGUCCCAGGUGUCGGGGAGAUCGGUCCCUCAGCGCAAAAACGGUCCAGACCGGGCAGUGCACAGAGUGGAUUUUUGAGGGGCCUAAGUGGAUUUUGUUACCUUAGAGGCUAUAGGAAGCCUCUCUUCUCCCUCUCACUCUUAUUUCCUCUCCCUCACACUCUCCCUAUACUUCUAGAGAGAGAAGAAGAAGGAGGAGAAGAAGAAGGAAAAGAGGAGGAGCAACUUGGAGGCUUUGAAUCAUCUUCUUCCCCUUAUUCCUCACCUUUGGUGGCUUGAAGCUUGCGGUUGGAGCCUUGUGGAGGUUCAAACUCCAACCCUACUUAGUUUAGAGCUUGGAUUGGAGCUUCUCUUGAGGUUCGUAGCUUGUAUUUUUUAUUUAAUACAAGUUUUUCUAGAUUUUACCUUAUGAAAUCCUAGAUUUUAGGAUUUAGGAUUUAUUUUGGAAACUUUUGAUUUGAGGGCUUUGAAACCUAAUUGAUCGUUUUAGAACCUUUAUUUAGGUUGGAUUUGAAGAACUCUAGCUCCCAUUUGGGGCUUGAGAGAGGAUUUCUUCACCUAGGUGAGUUUUUCUCCACCUUAGCCUAUGUUGCUUAUUGAUUGAGCUUAGGGUUGAUCGUAAGAUUUGUUUGACCCUUGGUCCUACAUCUUUAGGAUGCUAGGAGACUAGUCGACACCUUCGUCGGAGCUUACGAAGGGUUUCGAUAUCAUUGGUGGGUUUGACUUCAUGAAAACGGGGCAAAAUGGCCCCUAUGCUUUCUAAACUCUUCGUAAAGUCUUUUUUUAGAGCAAAUCCAUGUUAAACAUGAUUUAUGUGAAUUUUAGAACACUUGAAAUGCAUGCCUUAUAUAUCAUGAAAUUCGCACUCUAUAUAGUAGAGCUAUAUGUGUAGACUGCAUGCAUUGUGAAAGGUGGUUAGCCUUGCAAGUUGAGAACAUAUCUCAUAUGUUUGAAAUGAGUAGAACUAUGUGUUCAUGAACAUAAAUACCAUACUUGGAUUAGUUGAACAAUAGUGUCAUAAAGGGGCACUUGAAACUAAUAAAAUAUAAAAAUGCAACAUAGAGACAUAGUGAUAGGCCAUUGGACAUCGACUAUAUUCCAUGUUAGAGACAUGACGACAUAGUGAUGGGCCUUUGUGACAUUCGAUAUAUUCCAUGUUCUUUGACAUGUAGACUUGAGACUUGAGACGGACUGAUACGCAUGCUUGCCAUUGUGCUCAUUCGCACAUGCUUGUGAGGGUCGCUCCCUACAAGCCGGCACUCCGGAGUUGGCCAUCGCGAUACGUUCACCGUGCGGGAUUGGGCGCCGAAGUGGAUUGCCGUGGGAAAGGCUCAUUCCUAGAGUGGGGAUGUUGACUACCACGGGGCCAUUAGGCACGGUAAAGCCAGACAGCCUUCGGGUGGGUCUUAUGCUAGACAGCCUUCGGGUGGGUCUUAUCAGAGUUGAACUUUAAACAGUUAAAGUGACAAGUGGACAUUGACUAGAGUAGUGAACAUUGACAUUAUUGCUAUUCACAUUGUGGACUUUGGGAUAGUUGCAUACUCAUGCAUUUACAUAUUGGUUACUCUCAUAUACAUACUUGUGAUAGUUGUUUUGUUACUUGUGCAAAUCAUGCUAAGUAGAGACAUCAUGGUUGAGCAGUAUUCAUCUUUACUUACCCGUUGUAUUGAUCGCUUUUGCUCAUGCUUAUACACUGACCCCUUUUGCUGUAGUUUGGGCCUAGUGGCGCAUUUCACUGAAGUCAAUAAUUGCCCACUGGGAACUAUUAUUUAAUAGUUCUCAUGUCCCUGUUUCUAUAUUUCCUUUUCAGAGCCUUCGGCACUGGCGGAGGCACGGGAUCGCGGCAAGGGUGUCGCGUAGCUAGCUCGGAGAGAGUCCGUUUUGCUAUUGGUGGUUACUCCUUCUUUUGUUUGUGUUAGAGAGAGAGAGAGAUUUUGAGUACCAUGUAUAGAGAAACCACCUGUAUACUCUUUAUGUUUAGUCUUUGUAUUUGGGAUUUUUCUUUGUACUACUUUAUGGCUUUAUCAACGAAUUUCAGUUUUAUACUUACCCCUCUGUAUAGAACUUAGUUAUUUACUUUGCUCUGAUAUCGUUAGAUUUUUUUGUUCUACUGCUUUAUUUAUCGUUUUGUUUUAGACGCCUUGUAUGUUUUAGACAUAUGGCGGGUCUGGGCACGCACCGGGCGGGCUUCCGCUGGGUCCCGGGGCGUGACAGAUUAGUUUGGUAUCAGAGCCUAGGGUUGAGUCUUAGUGGACCUAGCAAACCUUAGGCCGGUUGGACUAUAAGAAAUAGGCUCGUGAGAGACGAAGUCUAUUCGACUUGUAAGCGAAAGUAUCUUGAUUGGGUAUCUUAGAUAACUCUAGAAAGUGGAGUUAAAUUGAAGUGUAUAGCUUCUAACUUCGCGGAGGGUUACGUUGGCGGCCCACAACGUAACAUCGGGAGUUAGUUGUGAAGCACACUUCAUUACUUUCGCAUGAUUUGGGGUAUUACCUUCUUGAGUGGGGAUACGAUGGCGUGAGUUUACU